AUGUCUAAGCUCAACAUCUAUCGGAGCCACACAUGGACAUCUCUCCCUCCUCGACUCAGAGCAAAAAAUGAACACAUACCAGGUCUGACUUGGAAUUUUGGAUGGAACCAUGCGGUUCUUCGCAAGCUGCUUUGGAAUGCACUACCACCAAUGGCUUUCUUCGACGUGAUAAAGAGUUUAGUUGGCGACCCGGCAUUUUGGUUGAUGCCUACUAUCAUUGAGGGUGUCCUUAGACAACAUCCAGCAUCCUCCCACCCAGGGAAGACAGUCCUCACACCUACACAGGUCUUUCCUCACCAGAAAACACUCUUCCAGAGAGGUGCGCUAAUCCGUUUCCCACCUCCCACACUCUUCUGCAUGUUCUGGCUUAUGCCAAGACCCAGGAGGAAAUUAAAAUUUCCUCUGAAUUGAAACUUUACCUUCUCCAAACUGCUGGAUCCCUCACUGGCCCGUGGCGUGAGCCAGGAGUGCUGGUUUAUCAUAUGACAUUGUGGCUGUUGAUGGGGGUGCACUCCCCCAGCUCAGGAACCAUGAUGAUAUGGCCCCAGGCCUCCAGCUACACUGGGAUUCCUGAGUUCCCUGAUGUAAGAACCAGCCUCCAAGGGCAUGAGCUGCACUCCCUACAGCAGGAGAGUAUGUACUUCCUCACCCUCACACUGGGUACAGCUUUCUGUAGCUUGUAUUGGCCUAGUUUUGAGGCUCCAACUGGAGACCCAUAAGUAACUCUACUUGAGCAGCUGGUUAGUUCCACACCCAGCCAUUCCUCCUGUGUGCUGGGCUCUCAUGCUCUAGCCCCAGGCCAGAGGCCAGGCAGCUUGGGACAGCCCCUCUGCCCGACAGCCUACUGACAUGGUUCAAACUAACCAAUCCCAAGCCUGCCCACCCUGCUUCACCUGUUCCAUCCCAUGGAAACCCCAAGAUAGGUCCUUGUCCACAUUUUCUCUUCAUCUCCUCUGCCUCUCCACCUUAGUCUCCUGACUAAGGUGGCCCUCAGUGGUGCAGACCCCCUCCUGUGGGGACCUUGGAGAAUAAUAAAAUCUCUUUGCAAUGUAAGUCAUCUUCUGAUCUGUUGACCUCAAUUUGAAGACACAUACAUGUCUCCACACCAAACACCCAUUGAAAUAAUGAGAGUUUUCACAAUACCAAAGAUUACGUACAUACAUGAGUCUGUGACUCUGACAAUGGGGUGCAUGAGUUGAAAGAGAGAAACCUUAAUGUGUAGAGUAAACCCCUUCGAGUGCAGAGAUGAUGAAGGUGUGUUUGAAGAAAGAAUUGAUAAACAAGAUCUGAUUCAUAGUUCACCUGCUGGGAAGGCAGACAAAUCCUCCCUUUAUGGAAUAUGAGUCACAGAAAGCCUUUGGAAGGCCAGUCUUAUUAACCCUCACCAUGAACACACAAAUUGAGGGCUGUUAUCUCCUUAUUAGAGACUUAGAAAUGGAGGCUUAAGAAAUGUAGGUAGUUUCUUAACGUCACAAAGUAAGUAAGUGUAGUCAGCCAAGUCUGACUCACUGCUGCCAUUAAAAAAUGCAACAUUAGCACGUCUAGGUUUCUGCAGACAUUUUUGCAAAAUAGGAGUUGGGUAUGGAAGCCAAAAUUCACAGUCUCAAGUUGAACAUGGAAAAAAAAAAAAGAAAAGUCCUUAAGAAGAUGCAAGAAUUGGAAACUCAUCUAAAGAGAGAAGAAAUUGUAAAGUGUGCUGGGUUUGGUAGGAGCAAAUGAGAUCUCCACAUCCUCACAGAAAAGUCAAGGGCUCUGGUCCCUUUGAAGCAUGUUUACUUUAUCUGUGAACGAUGUAAGCCUCUAAAAUGUAAGGCCAAAGGUAGGAAACCGCUGUUAAGAAACGUCUAGUUUUCUGUCUUGUCCUGCCAGUUUUAAGCAAUUCAAGUUUUGACCUUGUUAUUUCCACCCUGAGGACAUUGUACAUAAAAUGUGCAACUGUCAUGAUCUCGAUGGAUUCUUUUCCAUUAAAACUCCUGUCUAUAGCCACUAAUUCUUUGAUCAAAGGCUUUGCAGCACAGGGAAAAUACUUUGAAAUUUUCACCUUAUUUGUAGCCCACUAAUUUCAGUUCUUUUCUGUCUUAAUUUUAUAGAAAGUACAGAUUUAUCAAUCCUGCUCUGUGCAGUGUCAUAUACUAUGUUCCUGAGUCUAGUUUUUGUCAUGGUGCCUUGUUUGACAUGAGGACAUUCCUCUCCUCAAUUGGUUAACAAGAAUCCAAAGUCCUGAGGGUUCAGAUUUGUCCAUUUUUGCCUGGUAAACUCUUCUAUUAUGUGCUGUUUAAUUUCUUGUCAGUAUUAUUUCAGGUCAAUUAUUUCUAUCAAUUAUAAAAAUUUCCAUAUUUUGAUAAUAUCAAAGAUAUUAUCAUCAAAAUUAUCAAAAUAUUAUCAAAUAUCAAAAAUAUUAUCAUCAAAGAAUUCUUCUACUGGCACAAAUUACUACAAAUUGGUUAGUUUUAGGUGUGCCUGGCAUCGUGUUUUUAUGACAAAUAUUCUAAGCUGUUCAUAAAUGAUUAUUUGCCUUGAUAAAAGUUUCCAUAUGCAUUUUCUUCAGAUGAGAAAAAAAAAGCUUUAUAGACCCAAAUACAGCAAAAUAGAACUCUAAUUUCAUGACAUAGUAAUUGUUGGAAACAACGUCAUGCCAUCUGCCAACUCUUGAUCAAGAGAGUAGCCUCGGACAUGAACCAUCUCCUUGUAGGAAACAGGAGCUCUCCUAGCCUGUGCUGCCUUUCACCUUAUUUGGGACUGUUUUCUCCUAUUCCCAGCUUGACAUUCAAUUCUUUGUUCUGAUUCAGUGUGUGUAGGUGUCAUGUGGCACGUGGCCAGUCCCACUGCUCUACCUUCUUCCCACCGGUGAGGAAAUGGUGUGCUCCCCUUGCAGCUGAGAGGGGUGCAUGAAUACCAUGGCCAUGAAUGGGCUAAGGGGUGAGACAUGCUCCCUACUAAAGCUGUUCUUGCCCUGUCCCUUAUUUCGGGAGGAAAGCCUUGCUCCAUUCAGUGCCUGUGUGGGUCGUGUCUUCCUGGGCAGCCCAGGUUCAUGGAAACCCAAUGGUGACUGAUGACCUGGACUGCAGCUCUUGUGAGUAGAAUCUGCCAUAAGGGGCCUCCCCCCCCCCAGGAGUGGAGCAGGUGUCACUUUCUUGGCAGGAUGACAAGACUGCAUCUUUGUUUGAACUGCCUUGAG
Molecule: long non-coding RNA, 3178 nt
Organism: Mustela putorius furo (domestic ferret)
Lineage: Eukaryota; Metazoa; Chordata; Mammalia; Carnivora; Mustelidae
Source: Ensembl